ACGUGAGCAACCUGCCCAGAAGAAAGGGAUAGCUCGAGGAAACUCGAAUUAAUACCAUAUGUGAUCCUGUGAAGCAUUUCGCAGGAAUGAAAGAUGCCUUCGGGUGUCACUUCUGGAUGGGCUCGCGGCCUAUCAGUUAGUUGGUGAGGUAACGGCUCACCAAGGCAAUGACGGGUAGCUGGUCUGAGAGGACGACCAGUCACACUGGAACUGAGACACGGUCCAGACACCUACGGGUGGCAGCAGUCGAGAAUCAUUCGCAAUGGGGGAAACCCUGACGGUGCGACGCCGCGUGGAGGA
RNAcentral lists this ribosomal RNA (300 nucleotides) under uncultured Verrucomicrobiaceae bacterium. RNAcentral describes it as "bacterial SSU rRNA". It matches the Rfam family "Bacterial small subunit ribosomal RNA", at positions 115 to 408 of the family's 1533-position model. Lineage: Bacteria; Pseudomonadati; Verrucomicrobiota; Verrucomicrobiia; Verrucomicrobiales; Verrucomicrobiaceae. The record is from RNAcentral.